This 201-nucleotide ribosomal RNA is filed under the name uncultured bacterium. RNAcentral describes it as "partial 16S ribosomal RNA". It matches the Rfam family "Bacterial small subunit ribosomal RNA", at positions 328 to 539 of the family's 1533-position model. The record is from RNAcentral.
ACGCUCGACACCUACAGGAGGCAGCAGUGGGGAAUAUUGGGCAAUGGGCGAAAGCCUGACCCAGCAACGCCGCGUGAGGGAAGAAGGUUUUCGGAUUGUAAACCUCUGUCCUCAGGGACGAAGGACGUGACGGUACCUGAGGAAGAAGCCCCGGCUAACUACGUGCCUGCAGCCGCGGUAAUCUGAGCGGGCUGGCAAGGC